UGGGGAAUAUUGGACAAUGGGCGCAAGCCUGAUCCAGCCAUGCCGCGUGAGUGAUGAAGGCCCUAGGGUUGUAAAGCCCUUUCACCGGUGAAGAUAAUGACGGUAACCGGAGAAGAAGCCCCGGCUAACUUCGUGCCAGCAGCCGCGGUAAUACGAAGGGGGCUAGCGUUGUUCGGAUUUACUGGGCGUAAAGCGCACGUAGGCGGACUUUUAAGUCAGGGGUGAAAUCCCGGGGCUCAACCCCGGAACUGCCUUUGAUACUGGAAGUCUUGAGUAUGGUAGAGGUGAGUGGAAUUCCGAGUGUAGAGGUGAAAUUCGUAGAUAUUCGGGGGAACACCAGUGGCGAAGGCGGCUCACUGGACCAUUACUGACGCUGAGGUGCGAAAGCGUGGGGAGCAAACAGG
Molecule: ribosomal RNA, 404 nt
Filed under: Brucella melitensis
Lineage: Bacteria; Pseudomonadati; Pseudomonadota; Alphaproteobacteria; Hyphomicrobiales; Brucellaceae
Also listed under: 1 other name
Description: partial 16S ribosomal RNA
Rfam family: Bacterial small subunit ribosomal RNA
Source: RNAcentral